This 5269-nucleotide long non-coding RNA is filed under the name Sus scrofa (pig). RNAcentral describes it as "lncRNA (ENSSSCG00000056156.1)". Lineage: Eukaryota; Metazoa; Chordata; Mammalia; Artiodactyla; Suidae. The record is from RNAcentral.
AGUGACAGGAAACCAUGUGAGUUUAACUUUUAGAUAGGGGGUUCCACAUAGAUAUCACUAAGAAAUGACAUUUGUGCAAAUGCUGGGAGGCAAGCACACUAACUUCAAGUGACUCAAGCUGAAGUUGGAUAGUGAAUUGGUUAUCAUGUCAAUAGAAAAAUUAUCGAGAAUAUUACUGGAAAAUAAUCUCAUUAGAUGCUGGGGUGCUAUGUGAAUUCUUUGUGUAUACACAUAUCUUCUUCUGUAAUAUAAAGCUGUUAGUUCUAGAUCCUUAGCUGAACUAAAAAUACAAUCAUAUGCUUAUGUAUAGAAUCUAUAAUUUAAUACAUUUUCAUUUAAUUUAUCAUUGCUUCUUCUGGGCCAUGAAUUGGAGAAGGCUGUAGAAAUCAUAAAAAGUUCAAAGGACUCACAUUAAAAAUUUGAAAAUAGUAUUCACAGUGAAAUGUUGAGGGGAUUUAAAAUCAUUUGUAAUACUAUAUGUGGAUAUUUGUAUAUAAUGCAUCCACAUACAGAAGUACUUAUUCAUGCAUCUAGGUAUAUGUCAUUGAAUAUUUUAAUAUCACUUGCCAUGUAAUUUCUUGGCUAUAUACAAGCUGAGAGUUACACUGCAGUUGGCUAUGCCUGUGGUUAACUGAAGUUUCCACCUAUUAUUUCUGGACUUAAACUACAACAUGGUCAAUUUUCUGAUGAAAAACUAAUUGCAUUAGCCUGGCUGACCCUAUGGAUAUUCUAGAGGAAUGGCUUCCCAUUUAUUCCUCUAGAUUCGCUAGCUCUAUAUUAAGUCAAAACCACACACUGACCCAUGAAAACCCUGGAGAAAUGCCUUCCUGGAAAUAUGACCUAAAAAUCUACCCUUGGCAUAAGUAGCUUUAUAUACUGAAAGAGCAAUGAAAUAACUUUGCAAUUUUGCAAUCACAAACAUUUCCAACUCUUCAUUAAUGCAAAUACUAGUUCAUGCACUUAAGUUUCUAAACAUCUUCCUUCGUAGUAAGGGAUCAGAAAAUACAAAGUAAAAAGGUAAAAACAGAAAUAUAACAUUUGGACCAUUCUUUUCCUCACUCACAUGAAUUCAGGUAGUUGCUAUUCAAGGUAGUUGUCAAGGCUAGCCCCAAAUUAGAUUUAUAUCCAUCUAACUUGGGUGAGAGAUCAACAGAGGUAUUCAGUAAAAUUCUAUUUACUUUAUAUUAUACUCUGCUGAUGAAGGUCAGCUCUUAGAGACUAAACACUAGGAGUUACAAUACCUAAUACUUGGGUUAAUAGUGCCAAAGUAUUGGAAAUUCAAGUAAAAUAAUAUUUUGACUGUAAACCGUGGAUACCACGGAAUCUAAGUAACUCUGUUAAUCAUGUUUUUCCUUUCAAAUCUUUUCCUGUGGAUAAACUAGAAAGGGUAGUGUGAAGGGGAAAAGAACCAUCGAACUGAAGUUUUGUCCUUGGCUUUUCAUUGCUCAACUGGGAGAAAACAGCUACCAGAGAGGUCUGCAACCUUACUCUGCCAUAUCGUUCAGAAUGUCAGCCAUAGAUCACCUGUGACAAGUAUUUAAUUCUUUGUCUCACCAGGGACAAUGUGCAACCUUCUGCUGGAAGUGAGGUGUUUCAUUUCAUUUUAAAGCUGCCAACAAUAGUUGUCUUUUGGCCUUGCAGUAAGCUUUCUUUCGAUUUACUAUUCCCAACUUCUUCCUCUAAAAGCUGUAAAAAUAAUUCCCUUCCUACUGAUUUCCAUGGUAAAUCUUUUUCAAACAUCUCUAACAUCCAUGAUUCUUCUCUCAAUAACAGAACCUCUUCCUGUUUUCCCACAGAAGGCCCCACAGAGCAUUUCUGCCUUUGUGUUUGCCAGCUGAACAGAAUAAAACAUUAGGAUGCAAUGAUUAAAGACGCAGCUCAAGUGCAUUUUAGUUAUUGGGCUUCUGCUGAGAAGGAAAUAUAGAUUACAGAGAAUGUGGGUAAGCAAUUUUUAUAGGUGAUAUACUGAAAACACAAAUUGUAUCCUAGUAAUAGCUGAUAUGCACAGUAAUUAGAAGAUUCAUUCUGCCAAUUAGAAGAGAAUACAUGCAGACUCAAACAUUGCCUCGUGCCAUUUUCCACAUCAUUGACAACUCAGUAUGCCUCUGUACCUGGACCAUGACACAGUCACAAAGCAGUAAGGAUUAAAUCUCCAAUUCCUCCAAACGGUAACCAUCUUGAUUGAAUCUGAAAUACUACCAUAGUGUUUAUCAAAAAUCAGAAAUAUCUAAAGUAUUCUCAGUUUUAUUUCAUUUUACCUUAAUUAAAAGUAUGUGCUGUAUACUCUCUUAUUCAAGAUGGAUUAAAAACAUUUUAAAUAUGUGAAAGUAUAAUAAUCUAUAUCUACAUAUUUUAUUAUGUUAUGAAUUUGGUCUGUUGAGACUUAGAAAAAAUGCAGUCUCCCCUUCUCUCCUAAACAGGUUCUUACUAUUGCAGACACAAAAAACACAGAAAAGUGUUGCUUUUAAAUAGAAAAAAAAGGUAUAUAUAUAGGAACUAGAUAUAUUAAAAAUAAUUUGGUCUUAAAAACUGUAAAAUCUAUGUGGACCAUAAAAGGCAGACUAGAGAAACAUUUUUUAAUGUUCUCUAUAUAAGCUGUCUACACAAGGGAAAAAUAACAAUGUAUAUAAAAUAAAUAGUUUUUAGGUCACUGCAGCAAUUCAAAUUUAGAUAUUCGUCAACAUGAAUGAAGUCAAGUAUAUUCAAAUUUGUUUAGACAUUCAAAGUUAUUUUCAUCAGUUUAAUAAGGGGCUUUACCUCAAAUAUAAACUCAUUUGUAUAUGAACACAUGCAUAUGACUUAUUUUGGUCUUUCACAACAUGAGUUUUUUCAUAAUUACAUAUUUGAGAAAAUAAAUUUGGGAAACAGUUUUUUAACUUCAAUUUUUAUCUUUACUGGUUUAGAAAUACUGUUUCUUUAAUUUCUGUUCACUUUAUUUUUCCAUGUAUUCUAUUUAUUCCUUACAUACUGAAUUGCCUGUGGGCAUGUGGAAAGCUUCAGUAAACUGCAUAUAAUGAACUAGUUUGAAAUUUGCUAUAAUUCCAAUGACAGUCAUUUUCAAAUUUGCUUUCUCUGUUAAAAAAUUUGCAGGAAUUGUGAAGAGACAUUAUUUUCUAUCUGUUAAGCUCUGACUGCAUUCCUAACCCAACCAUGCCAUGCGUAAGAUAUAUGCUGGAAAAUAUUAUGGCAUUUGUAAUAAUGUUUUCAAGUGGAACAUACCCCUAUGGGAUAUAUUUUAUGUGUGCUAUAGAUAUCGGGAAGAAAAGCAUUCAGGGGGCAUGUUACUCAAAGUGAGGCUGUCGCAAGGUAAUAGAGUACUACAGUACUUGGGUAAAAUGAUACGGAUAGACUUAUUUCAUUUUCCAGAGGCACAUUUUAAACUGGCUUGCUCUUUAAGAGUCUGUAAAUUGUCUAAGCAGGGGAAAAAAGCAGCAAGCCUGAUAAAAUCAUAAAUAGCUUUUCCAUUAUUGCUGAAACUCUAAUUUUCUUGCUUAUUGCUUGAGUUGAUAAAACAAAUAAAAGAAGGAAUCUGAGAGAGAGAUUUCUUUAAUAUGCAAAAUGAAUUUCAAUGUACUCUCCUGCUGGUAUUUUUAUGGAAAAUCUGACUACAUGGUAUACAUGGAAUGUAGAAAUCUGCAUUUAGAUGGAAAUAUUAUAAAAUGCAUGGCAUGGUACAAAGUCAGUCUUUUAAUGGAGAUGGCAAAGUGCUCCAUUAUACGGUUGAGUGGAAAGACAGCAUGCAUAUAGGUUUCAUGUCUUCAGUAACCAAGUGCCUGGUUUGCCCAAAAGUGUACCACAUUAUUUUGAAUCUUUGACAAAUAUUGAUGAAGAAGAACAUACACCAGAUGGGUAGGCCCUUCUCCACAUGAAAAUUCUUGUGCUAUUCACAAGGUAUGCUUGCAAUAUAAAAUUUUUCUUAAUUUUUCCUCAAGUACUUCUGUGGAAUAGUGACGACUGAUUUUGUAGGAAGGUAUUUCAUUGCACUUACACAAACUUACUAGGAAAAAUGGGUGAUGCUUCAUGGCUUAGUUAAAACAAAAGAAGACAGAAAUUCCUUAUUCUCUUAUCACAACUGACUUUGGGGGUGACCUCAGGCUCUCUGGGACUCUGGUAUUCUAUCUCUAAAUGUAAAGACAAGAUUGCCUCAUGCCAACUAUUCCACAGAGCUAGAAAAAGUACUAAUGAGCUGACAUUUGUGUAGACUUUUAAAACAUCAUAUAAAAUUUCUUAAGCUGUUAGUAGAAUUCAGUGUUAUUAUCAAGCACUGGUAAGAACAGCUAUUACAUGAAUGAGAAAUGAAUUAGCCACAUAGAGAUGUAUAAAUUGUUGAAAUAAAGAUGACUGAUUAAAAUUAUUAUAAGCAGAAGAGAUCAUAAGGAUUUGAACUAUUUUAUAUGAAGUCUUUUUUAAUAUUACUAUACAAAUUAAUUAUAUCUAAUGAGUUCAUAACAAACAGAAAGAAAACACUAACACGAAUAUGGAUGGAUGAAAACUUGUACACCUCUACUCUCUGCAAAAACCUCACAUACAUAAAAAAAGGAUAAAAGACCGUAUAAUUCCACAAGAACACGGAUAACAGGAUGAGCUGAUAGUGACAAUAUUUGAAAAACUGGAAAGCAUAUAUACUAGUGAUAGCUGAUUAAGCAAAUCGAAGAAAGAUGAAACUUAGGUCUGGAAGCAAGGGGCUAAGCUGAAUGCCACCAGAAAAUCUCAAGCUCAAGAACUACUCCACUGAGGUGGGAGUCCAGGUGGUCCAGAAAUAGGACUGGCUGGAAAUCUAAUGUACCUUAGUGUUCAGAGCCCCUUCCUCAUAAGGCAUAGGUGUGGCAGCAGUAGAGGUGGGAGCUAAGGAACUGAAAUACAAAGUGUCCUGGAGGUGGGAGGUUUUUACUGAAAAGUGAGUAAGCACAAGCCUACAAGUGAAUUGCAUUUUUUUCAUAGCAAAAAUCCAGCAACUCUGAAACUGAAGCAUUAAGAAACCUAUUAUAAGGUUGUCAUUUGGAAACAUGGAGACAAUUAUCGGAAAGAAAGAAAAAAAAUAAUUAGGAGUUUCUAUCGUGGCUCAGGGGAAAUGAAUCUGAUUAGCAUCCAUGAGGACCCAGGUAAGAUCUCUGGUCUCAUUCAGUGGGUUAAGGAUCCAGCAUUGCCGUGAGCUGUGGUGUAGGUUGCAGACACGGCUCGGAUCCCGUCUUGCUGUGGUUAUGAUGUAGGCUGGCAUCUGUAGCUCUGAUUCAACCCCUAGCCUGGGAACCUCCAUAUGCCAUGGGUG